RNAcentral lists this ribosomal RNA (253 nucleotides) under uncultured bacterium. RNAcentral's name for it is "partial 16S ribosomal RNA". It matches the Rfam family "Bacterial small subunit ribosomal RNA", at positions 524 to 776 of the family's 1533-position model. The record is from RNAcentral.
GACAGAGGGGGCAAGCGUUGCUCGGAAUCACUGGGCGUAAAGGGCGCGUAGGCGGGAUGGCAAGUCGGUCGUGAAAUCCUAGGGCUUAACCCUGGGCUUGCAGUGGAUACGGGCAGACUAGAGGUAGGUAGGGGAGAAUGGAAUUCCUGGUGUAGCGGUGAAAUGCGCAGAUAUCAGGAGGAACACCGGUGGCGAAGGCGGUUCUCUGGGCCUUACCUGACACUGAGGAGCGAAAGCGUGGGGAGCGAACAGG